ACGCGAGGAACCUUACCAGGUCUUGACAUCCUCUGACACUCCUAGAGAUAGGACGUUCCCCUUCGGGGGACAGAGUGACAGGUGGUGCAUGGUUGUCGUCAGCUCGUGUCGUGAGAUGUUGGGUUAAGUCCCGCAACGAGCGCAACCCUUGAUCUUAGUUGCCAGCAUUAAGUUGGGCACUCUAAGGUGACUGCCGGUGACAAACCGGAGGAAGGUGGGGAUGACGUCAAAUCAUCAUGCCCCUUAUGACCUGGGCUACACACGUGCUACAAUGGAUGGUACAAAGGGCUGCAAGACCGCGAGGUCAAGCCAAUCCCAUAAAACCAUUCUCAGUUCGGAUUGCAGGCUGCAACUCGCCUGCAUGAAGCCGGAAUCGCUAGUAAUCGCGGAUCAGCAUGCCGCGGUGAAUACGUUCCCGGGCCUUGUACACACCGCCCGU
RNAcentral lists this ribosomal RNA (439 nucleotides) under uncultured bacterium. RNAcentral's name for it is "bacterial SSU rRNA". It matches the Rfam family "Bacterial small subunit ribosomal RNA", at positions 959 to 1397 of the family's 1533-position model. The record is from RNAcentral.